Molecule: ribosomal RNA, 253 nt
Filed under: uncultured bacterium
Lineage: Bacteria
Description: partial 16S ribosomal RNA
Rfam family: Bacterial small subunit ribosomal RNA
Source: RNAcentral
UACGUAGGGUGCGAGCGUUGUCCGGAAUUAUUGGGCGUAAAGGGCUCGUAGGCGGUUUGUCGCGUCGGGAGUGAAAUCUCCACGCUUAACGUGGAGCGUGCGGUCGAUACGGGCAGACUUGAGUUCGGUAGGGGAGACUGGAAUUCCUGGUGUAGCGGUGAAAUGCGCAGAUAUCAGGAGGAACACCGGUGGCGAAGGCGGGUCUCUGGGCCGAUACUGACGCUGAGGAGCGAAAGCGUGGGGAGCGAACAGG